UCUGUGUGUUUGCAUACGUGUCCUGCCUCUCUGCUCCCAGCCGUUAAGAGAUCAGAGUUGAUCGGUGGCUGUCCAGGCCUUUCAGAGACACUGACACGCCGGCAGCACAAUGAUGAUGUCACUGAUUCUACUGCUGGUCACCCUGGGGCUCCUUGUUCAGGAUUCAUCAGGAGAUAUCAUCCUGACUCAGUCUCCUGCAUCUCAGUCUGUUGUUCCAGGUCAGACUGUCUCUAUCAGAUGUAAAGCCAGUUCAACUGCCAGUAUAUACCUUAACUGGUACCUCCAGAAACCUGAUGAACCUCCCAAACUCUUGAUUUAUCAUGCUACUAAUCGUCAGUCUGGAGUUUCAGGUCGUUUUAGUGGAAGUGGAUCUGGGACUGCCUUCACUCUGAGCAUCAGUGGAGUUCAGACUGAAGAUGCAGGAGAUUAUUACUGUCAGCAGAGUAACAGCUUCCCGUUCACACAGUGAUACAACGUCGUACAAAAACCUCCUCAGCUGGAGAGGAACUGAUCCGACUCAACAGCUGCAUAGAAACUAAAAGACAACAUAUGAUUAAAAUAUACUUUAUACUUGUAUUUAAUUCUAACAUUUUUAAACGAACAGUACUGACUCUAUUAAAAAUAUUUUAUUUUUAUUGAC
Molecule: non-coding RNA, 640 nt
Organism: Cottoperca gobio
Lineage: Eukaryota; Metazoa; Chordata; Actinopteri; Perciformes; Bovichtidae
Source: the annotation of a RefSeq genome assembly